Molecule: ribosomal RNA, 497 nt
Filed under: uncultured bacterium
Lineage: Bacteria
Description: partial 16S ribosomal RNA
Rfam family: Bacterial small subunit ribosomal RNA
Source: RNAcentral
GAUGAACGCUGGCGGCGUGCCUAAUACAUGCAAGUCGAGCGAACAGACGAGGAGCUUGCUCCUCUGACGUUAGCGGCGGACGGGUGAGUAACACGUGGAUAACCUACCUAUAAGACUGGGAUAACUUCGGGAAACCGGAGCUAAUACCGGAUAAUAUAUUGAACCGCAUGGUUCAAUAGUGAAAGACGGUUUUGCUGUCACUUAUAGAUGGAUCCGCGCCGCAUUAGCUAGUUGGUAAGGUAACGGCUUACCAAGGCAGCGAUGCGUAGCCGACCUGAGAGGGUGAUCGGCCACACUGGAACUGAGACACGGUCCAGACUCCUACGGGAGGCAGCAGUAGGGAAUCUUCCGCAAUGGGCGAAAGCCUGACGGAGCAACGCCGCGUGAGUGAUGAAGGUCUUCGGAUCGUAAAACUCUGUUAUUAGGGAAGAACAAAUGUGUAAGUAACUAUGCACGUCUUGACGGUACCUAAUCAGAAGGCCACGGCUAACUACGUG